Molecule: long non-coding RNA, 949 nt
Organism: Mesocricetus auratus (golden hamster)
Lineage: Eukaryota; Metazoa; Chordata; Mammalia; Rodentia; Cricetidae
Exons: 3
Source: RefSeq, a predicted model, not a curated record
UAGGGAGCUUCUAGCUGAGCUAACUGAGGUAGGGAGAGACCCACCCUCAGUGACGAUAAGGGCACUCUGGGCCGCUGUCCUAGACCGAGUACAAAGGAGAAGGAGAGCCAACCAUCAGCACUUACUGCUCCUGUCUUCCCAACGGAAAGUGACCAGAUGCUCCUGCAGCCGUGUCUUCCCCGCCACGAUGGACUGUGUCCCGCAAGCUGUGAACCAGCAUAAACUCUUCCUGGGGUUGCUUCUGUGACCAGGCACCUUGGCCACAGUGAUGAGGUCCAAGUAAAAAAUUCGGCUCCCCUCCUUGGACAGUGACAGACUCAGUGGAGAAGGCACAGCUUGGCGUGAAGGUCGCACAUGGGGGUAACUUUCAGAGCCAGAGCCAGAGGACCUGUCUCAGAGCCAUUGUGGACCACUACUCGUGGACUCUCAAGUUUCACUGCUAAUAGGGAGUCAAGUGUCCUGGGAAACACGCUCCAAUCAAUACAGGGCCAGCAGCCCAGGCACUCAUACCCCAGGGCGCGUGUUUAUAUGGAACAUGCUUGGAGAGAUUUGCAGAUUUCCGUUUGCAAGCCUGGAUCUAAGGAGCUAAAGCUGAAGCGCAUCCCACGGCCAUGUCCCUUCCUGGUGUGGUUUCUUCUCUGGAGAGAAGAUGCAUCUGGGCUAGCCCAGGUGUCCUGCUUUAGUUACCCAGUGGUAAGGGACACUCUGUAUAUGAUACUCUAACCCAAACCCAAAGAAUUUACCUAACGCAGCUAAUGAUCUAAAAGUCUCGUUUGGCCAAGCCUAAGUAAACUCCCUCCUCUUCCUAGACACAGCUCUUUCUUUCAUCACAUUUUCUGGGCCAAGUGACAUGAAAGGAGACCACACCAACAGGGCCCCCACCAACUUCACUAGGCUUAAAUGGUUAUAAAAAUACAUCCGAGAAUUCUAAAUAUAUCACAUAUUAAUG